This 250-nucleotide ribosomal RNA is filed under the name uncultured bacterium. RNAcentral's name for it is "partial 16S ribosomal RNA". It matches the Rfam family "Bacterial small subunit ribosomal RNA", at positions 524 to 773 of the family's 1533-position model. The record is from RNAcentral.
UACGAAGGGGGCUAGCGUUGCUCGGAAUGACUGGGCGUAAAGGGCGCGUAGGCGGAUUGAUUAGUUAGGCGUGAAAUUCCUGGGCUUAACCUGGGGGCUGCGCUUAAUACAGUCAGUCUUGAGUGUGGAAGAGGGUCGUGGAAUUCCCAGUGUAGAGGUGAAAUUCGUAGAUAUUGGGAAGAACACCGGUGGCGAAGGCGGCGACCUGGUCCAUUACUGACGCUGAGGCGCGAAAGCGUGGGGAGCAAAC